This 900-nucleotide long non-coding RNA is filed under the name Oryctolagus cuniculus (rabbit). RNAcentral describes it as "lncRNA (ENSOCUG00000039451.1)". Lineage: Eukaryota; Metazoa; Chordata; Mammalia; Lagomorpha; Leporidae. The record is from RNAcentral.
ACAAAACCCAUCAAUAAUCCUGUCUAGCUUGUUCUUGUUAAAACAAAAAUCCAGCUGAAUAGUAGGAUAGGCAAAUUCUUUCUAUUCUCCUGAUAAAACUAGAAGCUCAGAAGGGCUGAUCAUUGCUUCCUUGCUAUUCUCAUGAUGAAACUAGAAACUGGGGGAGUGGGAUCACCACUUCUGUCUUGCUAAUAGACAGGUUCUGGGGAGAAGCAAGCAUCUUGUCCACUCUUACAAGAAUUCCCCAUUAGGUCAUCUAGUCCUUACACCAGCACCCCCUGCAUUACAACCUCUUUAUAAUCCCUGAUCACCCUCCUCCAACAGCAUGGUAGUCCUAAUGAAGGCAUCCUACCUUCCCCUAAUCUUGUGAGUAAUAUUUGCAGAAGAGUUUUGGAAGCCUACUGAAAAAAGGAGAUGAUUUGGAAGGGCAGGCUUUUGACCCAGCUGACAGAGAACCCUCCCCCAACUGAAAGCACCUCCCUCCUGACACCCUGGACUCCCCUGACUGGCUGGUGGGACCUUCCUCAGAACAAAGCCUGAAAAUCUGCAUAAUUGUCAAUUGAAUAGACUCAUUGUUUUAUUUCAAGCCUGGUGCUCCAAUUACCCCUGUCCCUUUAAACAUCCUUUGUGCUGCGGGGUUUGGUAGAAAAAGGCUUCUUUGGAUUGGGAGGACUUUCUUUCCCAAGACUGCAGCUGCCUUCUGGAAAUACACCCUUUCCUCUGGCCAGCACUCAGCUAUGGCGAAUUGAAGCGGUGAGCAUCCAGAGCCGGAUUAUGUGUCUGGAAACAACACUGCCCCUGCAUUUCCAGGCAAAAGAAGGAAAUCAUUUUGCUGAUGGAGCAACUGUGUUCAGCAUUAAGCAGCACAAUCCUUUGUCUCUGACCCAGGUGAAAAUACAA